This 497-nucleotide ribosomal RNA is filed under the name uncultured bacterium. Its description in RNAcentral is "partial 16S ribosomal RNA". It matches the Rfam family "Bacterial small subunit ribosomal RNA", at positions 28 to 507 of the family's 1533-position model. The record is from RNAcentral.
GAUGAACGCUGGCGGCGUGCCUAAUACAUGCAAGUCGAGCGAACGGACGAGAAGCUUGCUUUUCUGAUGUUAGCGGCGGACGGGUGAGUAACACGUGGAUAACCUACCUAUAAGACUGGGAUAACUUCGGGAAACCGGAGCUAAUACCGGAUAAUAUUUUGAACCGCAUGGUUCAAAAGUGAAAGACGGUCUUGCUGUCACUUAUAGAUGGAUCCGCGCUGCAUUAGCUAGUUGGUAAGGUAACGGCUUACCAAGGCAACGAUGCAUAGCCGACCUGAGAGGGUGAUCGGCCACACUGGAACUGAGACACGGUCCAGACUCCUACGGGAGGCAGCAGUAGGGAAUCUUCCGCAAUGGGCGAAAGCCUGACGGAGCAACGCCGCGUGAGUGAUGAAGGUCUUCGGAUCGUAAAACUCUGUUAUUAGGGAAGAACAUAUGUGUAAGUAAAUGUGCACAUCUUGACGGUACCUAAUCAGAAAGCCACGGCUAACUACGUG